This 554-nucleotide ribosomal RNA is filed under the name uncultured bacterium. Its description in RNAcentral is "bacterial SSU rRNA". It matches the Rfam family "Bacterial small subunit ribosomal RNA", at positions 355 to 896 of the family's 1533-position model. The record is from RNAcentral.
UAGGGAAUCUUCGGCAAUGGACGGAAGUCUGACCGAGCAACGCCGCGUGAGUGAAGAAGGUUUUCGGAUCGUAAAGCUCUGUUGUAAGGGAAGAACGAGUGUGAGAGUGGAAAGUUCACACUGUGACGGUAUCUUACCAGAAAGGGACGGCUAACUACGUGCCAGCAGCCGCGGUAAUACGUAGGUCCCGAGCGUUGUCCGGAUUUAUUGGGCGUAAAGCGAGCGCAGGCGGUUAGAUUAAUCUGAAGUUAAAGGCUGUGGCUUAACCAUAGUACGCUUUGGAAACUGUUUAACUUGAGUGCAAGAGGGGAGAGUGGAAUUCCAUGUGUAGCGGUGAAAUGCGUAGAUAUAUUAUGGNNAAAAAACCGGGGAAAGCGGNGGUCUCUUGUUUUGUUUUGACCUCUAAGGCUCNAAAAGCGUGGGGAGCAAACAGGAUUAGAUACCCUGGUAGUCCACGCCGUANCGAUGAGUGCUAGGUGUUAGACCCUUUCCGGGGUUUAGUGCCGUAGCUAACGCAUUAAGCACUCCGCCUGGGGAGUACGACCGCAAGGUUG